RNAcentral lists this long non-coding RNA (2839 nucleotides) under Mytilus galloprovincialis (Mediterranean mussel). The record is from RNAcentral. Lineage: Eukaryota; Metazoa; Mollusca; Bivalvia; Mytilida; Mytilidae.
GAGCUUCAUAAUAAGGGAUCCACAUGUAUGUCAAAUGAACAGCCCAAGUUUUGUAAGAAUAAGCUUUCUGCAGCAAAGCAGUGCCUUAAAAUUGAUUUUAAACUACGUCAUGUACAUUGUGCAUCUCAGAGUAGACGUGCAGACCAUUGCAUUACUUGACUUCUCAGUUACCCAAAAGGCUAGAAUUAUACUCAGCAUGUGAUCAUGAGCAGUGUCAGCUGAUUCGAGAUGUUGAAAAUGUUACAGUGUGCUCAGUUCUGUGAAGAUUCAGGAGAGAAAAUUAACUGUAUCAAACCAUGGAUCAGAUGCAUGUCUGGAAGAGACAUAUAGUCUGAACAAUCAACUAAGACCAAUCACAACUGGAUAUCCUAAAGGACCUCAAGCCUCAGCAGAUUUUAAUAAUCAUGGAGUUUGCAAUGAAAUUCCUGCCAUAAAAGGUAUAUAACUAUAUAUUCAAAUGCAUAAAAUUUAGAUUUUUAUACGACCGCAAAAUUUGAAAAAUUUUUCGUCAUAUAUUGCUAUCACGUUGGCGUCGUCGUCGUCGUCGUCGUCGUCGUCGUCGUCGUCGAAUACUUUUAGUUUUCGCACUCUAACUUUAGUAAAAGUGAAUGGAAAUCUAUGAAAUUUUAACACAAGGUUUAUGACCACAAAAGGAAGGUUGGUAUUGAUUUUGGGAGUUUUGGUCCCAACAUUUUAGGAAUUAGGGGCCAAAAAGGGCCCAAAUAAGCAUUUUCUUGGUUUUCGCACUAUAACUUUAGUUUAAGUUAAUAGAAAUCUAUGAAAUUUUGACACAAUUUAUUUAUGACCACAAAAAAACGGUUGGGAUUGAUUUUGGGAGUUUUGGUUUCAACAGUUUAGGAAUUAGGGGCCAAAAAAGGGCCCAAAUAAGCAUUAUUCUUGGUUUUCGCACAAUAACUUUAGUUUAAGUAAAUAGAAAUCAAUGAAAUUUAAAACACAAUGUUAAUGACUACAAAAGGAAGGUUGGUAUUGAUUUUGGGAGUUUAGGUCCCAACAGUUUAGGAAUUAGGGGCCAAAAAGGGACCCAAAUAAGCAUUUUUCUUGGUUUUCGCACCAUAACGUUAGUAUAAGUAAAUAGAAAUCUAUGAAAUUUAAACACAAGGUUUAUGACCAUAAAAGGAAGUUGGUAUUGAUUUUGGGAGUUUUGGUCCCAACAGAAUAAGGGGCCCAAAGGGUCCAAAAUUAAACUUUGUUUGAUUUCAUCAAAAUUGAAUAAUUGGGGUUCUUUGAUAUGCCGAAUCUAACUGUCAUGACUGUGUAUGUAGAUUCUUAACUUUUGGUCCCGUUUUCAAAUUGGUCUACAUUAAGGUCCAAAGGGUCCAAAAUUAAACUUAGUUUGAUUUUGACAAAAAAUGAAUCAGUUAGGUUCUUUGAUAUGCUGAAUCUAAAAAUGUACUUAGAUUCUUGAUUAUUGGCCCAGUUUUCAAGUUGUGGCCAAAUCGGGUCCAAAAUUAAACUUUGUUUGAUUUCAUCAAAAAUUGAAUAAAUGGGGUUCUUUGAUAUACCAAAUCUAAACUGUUGUAAUGUAGAUUCUUCAUUUUGGUCCUCUGUUUUCAAAUUGGUCUACCACUAAAGUCCAAAGGGUCAAAAUUAAACUUAGUCUGAUUUGUAACAAAAAUUGAAAUCUUGGGGUUCUUUGAUAUGCUGAAUCAAAAUGUACUUAGAUUUUUUAUUAUGGGCCCAGUUUUCAAGUUGGUCCAAAUCAGGAUCUAAAAUUAUUUAUAUUAAGUAUUGCUGCAAUAGCAAGUCUUUUCAAUUGCACAGUAUUGCGCAAAUUGGCAAGAAAUAUCUAAUUGCACAAUAUGUGAAAAUAGCAAAUUUUUUUUUAAUUAGAGUAUCUUUCUUGUCCAGAAUAGUAAGCAAGAAAUAUCUAAUUGCAAAAUAUUGUGCAAUAAGCAAGAUUUUUUUUAAUUGGAGUUAUCUUUCUUGGGUUCAAUUUUUCUCAUUUGAAAUUUCAUAAAUAAAAAGAAAAUUUCUUCAAACAUUUUUUUGAGAGGUUUAAUAUUUCAACAGCAUAGUGAAUGGCUCGAAGAGAGAAACAAAAAAUUUCAAGUUCAUUAGAACACAUUCAUUCUGUGUCAGAAACCUAUGAUGUGUUCAACUAUUAAUCACAAUCCAAAUUUAGAGCUGAAUCCAGCUUGAAUGUUGUUGUCCAUACUUGCCCCAACCGUUCUGGGUUCAACCUCUGUGGUCGUAUAAAGCUACGCCCUGCGGAGCAUCUGGUUUCUGAUGAACACAUGAAGAAGGAGCUCACUUCUUUCAAUGCAUACAUACACAUUCUCAGUCAAAUCAGUGUUUACAGUCAAAUAUGCCAGAUUACAUGUACAUGUAUAUAAUUUAUUUUUAAGCAUGAAGGAUUAUGAUACCAAAAUGUGAAUUGUAUGCAAUGUAUUCAUAUUUGCUAGACAAAUAAAUAGCUUAUACUGCAAAAAGUAUCUGUUUUCACCACAUAAAUUGUCAUUAUGGUGUCAUUUGUUUUACAUCACAAACACCAUUUGUUAUAUUUAUAUACUAUACAUGUAGAUAGUGUAAAAAAAAUAAAACUCUGGAACGAUGAACAGAAAAUGGAACAUUAACAAUGAUUAAAAAAAAAAAUGGUAUUUUUUACCUUAAUAGUGAUAUAUAUGAUAGUUGGGAUUUUGUAUUGACAGUUUUUUUUUAUGGACAUUUACUUUUAGAUAUACCUGGAGUAUGGAACAUCUACCUUGUUAUACAUGUAUCUUUCUUAUUUGUUACAGUAUCGAGAAAAAACAGAGUGAUUGGUUUGGGUCAGCAUGGUAAGAACUGACAUGUGACAGUUUGCAUCAUGGGGGAUCCUAAU